GGUAUAAUAAAAUUUGAAGUUUGGACUCUUUUGAUCAUUAUUAUUUUUCUGACUGAAUAGAAAAGAUUGAGGUUAUCUAUUGAUAUUGACGAUUAUUCUACAAAAGAUGGAUUGGAGUUAUUUAUAAUUUAAUUUGAUAAUGAAUCGAUUAAUUAAGAGUUGCUAAUGUUUAGAUAAAGAAAAUUGAUAUACUUACUUAGAAAAGAUACAUUGAUUUUGAUUAUAAGAAAAAUAUAGUUUUGAUUUAAAUCAAUUUUUGAGUUAUUGAUUUUUAUUAUGGAAUGACUUAAUGAUAAAAUUUGCUUCAAGAAUUAGAAUAUUUAAGAGUUUGAGGGUUUGAGUA
Molecule: long non-coding RNA, 343 nt
Filed under: Elaeis guineensis (African oil palm)
Lineage: Eukaryota; Viridiplantae; Streptophyta; Magnoliopsida; Arecales; Arecaceae
Description: long non-coding RNA (EGUI_LNC029595)
Source: RNAcentral